RNAcentral lists this ribosomal RNA (253 nucleotides) under uncultured bacterium. RNAcentral's name for it is "partial 16S ribosomal RNA". It matches the Rfam family "Bacterial small subunit ribosomal RNA", at positions 524 to 776 of the family's 1533-position model. The record is from RNAcentral.
GACAGAGGGUGCGAACGUUGUUCGGAAUUACUGGGCGUAAAGCGCAUGUAGGCGGCAGCGCAAGUCGGGCGUGAAAUCCCACGGCUCAACCGUGGAAGUGCACUCGAAACUGCGCAGCUAGAGUCCUGGAGAGGAAGGUGGAAUGCUUGGUGUAGCGGUGAAAUGCGCAGAUAUCAGGAGGAACACCGGUGGCGAAGGCGGAUCUCUGGGCCAUUACUGACGCUGAGGAGCGAAAGCGUGGGGAGCGAACAGG